AAAAACAUGGCUUUUUGAUAUUAAUUUAAAGUCAGGCCUGCCCUAUGAGAUUUAAAUGGCUGCAGUAUCCUAACUGUGCAAAGGUAGCAUAAUCAUUAGUUUCUUAAUUGGAAGCUGGAAUGAAAGGUCGAAUGAGAAAAUAGCUGUCUCUGUAAAAAUUUUAUUGAAUUUUAUUUUUAAGUCAAAAAGCUUAAAUUUUAAUAAAAGACGAGAAGACCCUUUAGAGUUUUAUAUUCAAAAAAAAAAAUAGGAUUUUUAGUGUAAAUAAUUUUAUUUUUUUUAGAAAAUAUUUGGUUGGGGUGAUUAGAAAAUUAAUAAAACUUUUCUUUUAAAACUACAUUAAUUUAUGAAAAUAUGAUCCUUAAAUAAAGAUUAAAAGAUAAAAUUACCUUAGGGAUAACAGCGUAAUUUUUUUUGAGAGUUCUUAUCGAAAAAAAAGAUUGCGACCUCGAUGUUGGAUUAAAAUAAAUUUUUGGGGUAGUCGCUAAAAUAAUUAGGUCUGUUCGACCUUUAAAAUUUUACUUGAUCUGAGUU
Molecule: ribosomal RNA, 534 nt
Filed under: Paroxyonyx sp. HL-2018
Lineage: Eukaryota; Metazoa; Arthropoda; Insecta; Coleoptera; Curculionidae
Description: partial 16S ribosomal RNA
Rfam family: Bacterial large subunit ribosomal RNA
Source: RNAcentral